UCCGGGAGGGGAGUCCCGGCCUAGCCCGGUGGGCACGUUCUGCCAUCCGUGAUGAGGGCUCCCAGAGAGAGAGAGAGAGAGAGAGAGCCCGGCCAGGCGCGCGGGGCCCUGGUCCCCCAGCCCCUCUGCCCGGCGGGACACUGUCCCUUUAACAGACUGGUUCUGCCUGGCGCUUUGCGGCUGGGGAGUAAAUCUCUCCCUGUCAUCAGGUCGCGGAGAGAGGAGGAGGAGGAGGAGUUUGUUAAUGUUCAGUUUGUUCAGCGGGAUCGAUGUUUCCUGGCAUCGCCUCACCCUGCCUUACGGAGAUCUGACAACAGCCACAACCCUGCGAGGGAUCUGGGGCGAGCCGCCAUCGAGGCCGGACCGAGGAGGAGGAGGAGGAAGAAAAGCUGCGGAGGUGGAGGAGGAGGAGGGGAAGAGGAGGAGGAAGACGAAGAAGAAAAAGAAGAAGCCCGCUGCCUCCCCAGGAUUGCUUUUUUCUUCCUUAUCUUUCCGCGCGCGUGUGCGUGCGGCGCGUGUGCGCCCCUCGUCCUUCCAUCUGAACCCGGUCUUGGAUGUUUAAUAAAGAAAUCAAGUGUCUCACCAGUCACCACAAAAAAAAAUCAAAACCAAAAAAUAUAUAUAUAUCCAAAAGCAAAAACAAAAACAGAGAGAGGAAAAAAAAAAA
This 667-nucleotide long non-coding RNA is filed under the name Fukomys damarensis (Damara mole-rat). RNAcentral's name for it is "lncRNA (ENSFDAG00000022775.1)". The record is from RNAcentral. Lineage: Eukaryota; Metazoa; Chordata; Mammalia; Rodentia; Bathyergidae.